GAGUGUCCACAUUAUCUGAAGCCUGCACAAACAAAAAUUGGGAAGAAAAUGAAGUACCAAAAUAAAUAAAGAUAAGUGCAUCGCUAUUUCUCACUUCUCAGUAUUUUCAUUCAUUUGACAAAAAAUAUAAGGAAAAUGAAUAUUUACAAACUCCUAUCCUUUAUCAUUUACAACCACGUCUAAUCUCUCCCAUCAAGCAUGAUCAACCAGGUGCAUUUCCACAACUUCACAUGUGGACCCAAACCCAUCCCUUCAUUCCUAAUCAAAUCACUUGCUUUCAGUCUUUCACUGAAUAUUCUCUCUCUCAAAAGUCUAGAGAUCAGUCUAGCUUUCUCAACUCUCUGUAGAUAAAACUUCCUUGCACUCACUAUGCUAACUCAUCCGACCCUCCAAAGUAAGGUGGUUGAAAAACAUUGUAGAACCAUUUCUCUACCUUAGGUUGCUUUGUGUUACCACAAUUAAUACCUUUUCAGUGGUUUUCCAUGCAAGUCAUUUGGAGUGACUUGAACAGACAAACUUUAUGGCCCUCCUUCACUGUCCAGAAUAUACCAAUCACUUAUUUUCUUCAGAUACAAUACAAAAGGCUACUGACCAUAAACUUCCUUACAAGAGAAACAUACUUCAAGUCAAGCAAAAUAAAAUUUCUUUUUGCUAUUGAAUGCCCUCAUCAUCAGAGGUCCUAAAAUGGAUAUAAUGAAGCCCUGGUGAUAAUGAUAAAUAGUGAAUACGAAAGGAUUAUUCUUCAUGCUUGUAUGCUCACAUAACAAUAGCAUUUUAUGUCAGCAUAUCAACAUUUUGACAACAAGAACUAACAUGAAUAUUAUCAUUCAAUCAAAAACUGAAAUCAU
Molecule: unclassified non-coding RNA, 848 nt
Filed under: Hevea brasiliensis (rubber tree)
Lineage: Eukaryota; Viridiplantae; Streptophyta; Magnoliopsida; Malpighiales; Euphorbiaceae
Source: RNAcentral